UGCCAUAUUACCUAUUAUUUUUUUUCUAAAACGUGCUUUGUAUAUAGAAAUAAGAAGAUGAGGUAUGAGUGCCAAAUGAGACAUCUUUCCAACAAAGACAUAAUUUAGUAAAGUAAGCAGUCAUAGGUCCAAUGCUGAAAAGUAAGCUAUUAAUGACCCAAAAAUUACUUGUGUAAAACAAUCCAAACAAAAAAAAAACCCAAAAAAAACGGCCCAAUUAAAUAUAUAAAAGGACAAGAAAUCUAUCCCAUAAAAAAAAAUAUUGUAUAGGAGCCUGUAUUUCAGUGGUUGUCGUUUGUUUAUGUGUUACAUAUUUGUUUUUCGUUCAUUUUUCUUUAUAUAAAUAAGGC
RNAcentral lists this long non-coding RNA (350 nucleotides) under Mytilus galloprovincialis (Mediterranean mussel). The record is from RNAcentral. Lineage: Eukaryota; Metazoa; Mollusca; Bivalvia; Mytilida; Mytilidae.